Phyllopteryx taeniolatus (common seadragon) is the source of this 1196-nucleotide long non-coding RNA. RefSeq lists it as uncharacterized. NCBI's taxonomy places the organism in Eukaryota, Metazoa, Chordata, Actinopteri, Syngnathiformes, Syngnathidae. The record is from RefSeq and is a predicted model, not a curated record. The transcript is spliced from 3 exons.
AAUACUUGUGGCCCGUCUCUCCCAGGUUGCCCUCUAGGAUGCCCACCUGGGAACAGCACAACUCAGGUGCGGCUGUACACACUUGAUGUGUUUGAAGGAUUCGUCACUGUACAAACACUGCAGGGUCACGGGGCGCUGGAGCCUAUCCCAGCUGACUUGGGGCGAAAGGCGGACUACACCUUGAACUGGUCACCAGUCAGUCGCAGGGCACAUAUAGACACGGACAACCAUUCGCACUCACACCAUCACCGAGUGGGAACUGAACCCACGCUGCCCGCACCAAAGUCAGGCGAGUGUACCGCUACACCCUCAGUGACACUCUGAAAGUAAUUCAUGUAAAUUUUUAAAGUUUAAAAAUGCAUUUGCUUAUAAUUAGGGAAGCUACUAAUGAUUAUUUUAAUUAUCGAUUCAUCUGUCCAUUAUUUUUGGAUUAUUCAAUGAAUCCGAUUUUUUUUUUAAACUAUAAAUAUCUAUUCCUAAUUCAAAAACAGGACAUUUCAAAUUAACAGUGCAGAAAAUAUACAAUUAUGAUUUGUUUACUGGUUUGGUUUGUAACGUCAGAAAAAAAAGACAAAAAUGUGGAUUAGUCUGUUCCAAAGUACAAACAGAUGUUUGCAUCCAUCCAUUUUCUACACCGCUUAUCGUCAAUAGGGUCGCAGAUAUGCUGGAGACUAUUCCAGCUAACUGCGAGCGAGGUGGGGCUUGAAUCAACCGACCAUGAAUGUUUUUGAAAUGUGGGAGGAAACGGAGUCACUGAUGGUGUAGUGGUACACUCGCCUGACUUUGGUGCAGGCAGCGUGGGUUCAAUUCCCACUCAGUGACGGUGUGAAUGUGAGUGCGAAUUGUUGUCCGUGUCUAUACGUGCCCUGCGACUGACUGGCGACCAGUUCAGGGUGUAGUCUGCCUUUCGCCCGAAGUCAGCUGGGAUAGGCUCCAGCGUCCCGUGACCCUAACCAGGAUAAGUGGUGUUGAAAAUGGAUGGAUGGAUGGGAGGAAACGGAAGUACCUGGAGAAAUCAAAAGAGUUAUAAAAUAGUGUGUGUUCGAUUAAUUUGAUAAUCGAUUUGCUGUUGAUUAUUCGAUUAAUUGUUGCACCUCUAUUUAUAAUGUAUCAUAUGAUGUUGGAGAUUAUUUGUUAAUGCUUUAAUCCCAUUUAUAUUGUCAUUAUUUAUAAAAAAAAAAAUCUACGAAAUCUAC